AUUGAACGCUGGCGGCAUGCCUUACACAUGCCAGUCGAACGGCAGCACGGGUGCUUGCCCCUGGUGGCGAGUGGCGCACGGGUGAGUAAUACAUCGGAACAUGUCCUGUAGUGGGGGAUCGCCCGGCGAAAGCCGGAUUAAUACCGCAUACGAUCUACGGAUGAAAGCGGGGGCCCUUCGGGCCUCGCGCUAUAGGGUUGGCCGAUGGCUGAUUAGCUAGUUGGUGGGGUAAAGGCCUACCAAGGCGACGAUCAGUAGCUGGUCUGAGAGGACGACCAGCCACACUGGGACUGAGACACGGCCCAGACUCCUACGGGAGGCAGCAGUGGGGAAUUUUGGACAAUGGGCGAAAGCCUGAUCCAGCAAUGCCGCGUGUGUGAAGAAGGCCUUCGGGUUGUAAAGCACUUUUGUCCGGAAAGAAAUCCUUGGCCCUAAUACGGUCGGGGGAUGACGGUACCGGAAGAAUAAGCACCGGCUAACUACGUG
RNAcentral lists this ribosomal RNA (486 nucleotides) under uncultured bacterium. RNAcentral describes it as "partial 16S ribosomal RNA". It matches the Rfam family "Bacterial small subunit ribosomal RNA", at positions 30 to 507 of the family's 1533-position model. The record is from RNAcentral.